This 4597-nucleotide long non-coding RNA is filed under the name Homo sapiens (human). Its description in RNAcentral is "non-protein coding lnc-RNF135-1:2". Lineage: Eukaryota; Metazoa; Chordata; Mammalia; Primates; Hominidae. The record is from RNAcentral.
AUUUUCUCUUUGUGGAGGCUGGGUUCGCGUGCUCUUCUGAGCUGUGGUCGUCAUGGACCGGAAGCGUGUGCGGCGCGCCUGCCUUGAGGCCAGCAUCAGGGAAGGGUGUCCCAGGUGCAGGCGAAGCUUCCUUCAGGUGCUCCUGGAGGACUUUUGGCUCGCAAGCGCUUCUCCAUUCUCCCAACGUCUCGGGCCUGAUGUUAUCAUCUCCCUAUCCUUGGCUGCACCUGAAAAGAGCAGGAGCCGGCAGGUAACCCGAUCGCCUCCCCCAGGAGGUGAAGUGAAAUCUGCAAGAGUCCUGCUCGUUCAAGGCCUGCAUACAGGAAAGAAGCAGGGGAAAAGCGUUAGAAACAGCUUUUGUUCUACAGCAUUUUAAAAUAUAAUAGGUAUAUUGAAAAGUCUGAUUCAGUUACAAUCAGUGUAUGGAAUCACAAGAAGAUCCAUAAGAAACAAGGUGCUGGAUUUCUCCGUUGUGUUCGUCUUUUUCCAGUGCCAUCAACCACCUCAAAGACACUGGUUAUCAGAGGUUGGAUUUAUGCAAACUUGGGCCAAAGGACAGUUAGAAGACAGUAGUAAGUCUUCAGUCCAGGGACCAAAUCGGCACAGGAGGACAAGUUGUGGACUGCAGUCAUUUAUUUGAUAAUGAUUUACCAGACAACUGAAGAAGCAUCUGUAGGGAAUCCAGAAGGAGCAUUCAUGAAGAUGUUACAAGCCCGGAAGCAGCACAUGAGCACUGAGCUGACUAUUGAGUCGGAGGCGCCCUCAGACAGCAGUGGCAUCAACUUGUCAGGCUUUGGGAGUGAGCAGCUAGACACCAAUGACGAGAGUGAUGUGAUCAGCUUGAAAUUCAGCUAACCGAGCAGCUACGGUCCCUCAUCCCCAACGAGGAUGUGAGAAAGUUCAUGUCUCAUGUUAUCUGGACCUUGAAAAUGGAAUGUUCAGAAACACAUGUGCAAGGGAGCUGUGCCAAGCUCAUGUCGCGAACAGGCCUCCUGAUGAAGCUUCUCAGCGAGCAGCAGGAAGCAAAGGCAUUGAAUGUAGAAUGGGAUACGGACCAACAAAAAACAAAUUAUAUUAAUGAGAACAUGGAACAGAAUGAACAGAAAGAGCAGAAGUCAAGUGAGCUCAUGAAAGAAGUUCCAGGAUAUGACUAUAAGAACAAACUCAUCUUCGCAAUAUCUGUGACUGUCAUACUAAUAAUUUUGAUUAUAAUUUUUUGUUUUAUAGAGGUAAAGACAAUAAUUAAUUCAGGUUUUCAAAAUACAAUCCUGUGUUUGUGUGGAUUCAGAAUCCACAAACUGAAAACCAACGUCACUUUCCCACUUGACAUUCUUCUUCUGUCAUUUAAGGCUGAGGUGUGCUUUGUUCUUUUACUGCAAUGUAUAUUCCAGGAUUGUUAAAGGAUCCUCGCUUCCAGGAGGUCUCUGUGAAAUAAAACCAAGUUAAUCCCACUAGACUAUUUUAAGAAGUUAAGUUGAUAUAAUAGCAAAAUUUCUCCCACCCAAAACUAUGUCAACAAUUGGAUGUACUCACUGAGUCACCCCUUACUCUGCCACUAAUUUAUUUCCUUGUUGCUUAAAUGAUGAGAGACAUAUAAUCUCCACCCUCACGGAGUUGUCAUCACCCUGGAGAGGAAGAAGACAGCCAAAAGAGAGAAGUAUUGUCUUGUAGACUUACUAGAUUCACAUAGUAUCAUCCUUCUCCAGUGUGUAAGGUGUUGUCUAAAUAGGUCCAGUUAAAGAACUACAGGGUAGCCAUUUUUAAAAAAAAAUUUUGGCCACGUUUUCAAAUUCACAGGGGAGGGGGAAUGUCUCAUACUCCAGCCCUCCUGAGCCUAGGCCCUCUGUGAGAUGUGUCACCAUUUCUUGGACACCAUAUGAGACAUUCCCCCUCGGAUUAGAGAUGCUCAACCUGCAUCAACAAAUCUAAAGCCUGCAUCUGGCUACCCUGGGGCGAGUCCUGUUUACAGUGCCUAUUCCUGGAGCUCGCCUCUUUUUGCCUUUUGUUUGAUUAUGUGAUGUAUUACUUUUCCCAGCAGGCCAGUGCUAGCAUACUGGAAGAGGGAUUUAAUAAGCUGGCACCCUUGAUGCUAUGCUCCUAAUCCAACCUUAUUUGCCUCAUUGGCCAUUUCCAUUAUGGUGGCAGCCCUCCAUUCCAGCCACAGCAGCCCCUCAGCGUCCCCCAGUCACACUGUCCCCAUUGCUGCUCAUCUGUGCCUUUGUCCAUCUACAAUGCCCUUAUUUCACUCUGCCUGUGGGAGUCCUGUGAAUCUCUCCAAAGCCAACUCAGUUCAUCUUUCUGCUUGAAACCUUCCCUGAAUAGGCCAGGUGCGGUGGCUCACGCCUGUAAUCCCAGCACUUUGGGAGGCCAAGGCAGGCGGAUCACAAGGUCAGGAGAUCGAGACCAUCCUGGCUAACACAGACCAUUCUCUACUAAAAAUGCAAAAAAUUAGCUGGGUGUGGUGGCGGGCGUGUGUCGUCCCAGCUACUUGUGAGGCUGAAGCAGGAAAAUGGCAUGAACCUGGGAGGUGGAGCAUGCAGCCAGCCAAGAUCGGGCCGCUGCACUCCAGCCUGGGGGACAGAGCGAGACUCUGCCUCAAAAAAAAAAAAAAAAAGAAACUUCCCUGAAUAUUCCAGCCCUCCUGAGCCUAGUCCCUUUGUGAGAUUUGUCCCCAUUUCUUGGACACCAUAUAAGAGACUUCAGAGGCUGAAGUGGGAGGAUUGCUUGAGCCUGGGAGGUCGAGGAUGCAGUGAGCUGUGGUCAUACCACUGCACUCUAGCCUGGGCAACAGAGCGAGACCUUGUCUCAAAAACAGCCACCACCAAAAACUAUCUUGGGAUUUGAAUAGGAUUACCUUAAAUUUGUAGAUUAAUUUGAGAAUUGACAUCUGUACGACAUUCUAGAACAUGGUAUUUCAUGUCAUGUAUUCAUUUCUUGUUAAUGUCUUUCAGAAGAGUUUUAGGGUUUCCAUCAUAUAGAUCUUACACGUCUUUUGUUAGAUAACAGAUCUUUGUAUUUUUGUUCCUAAAUACUUCAGACAUUUGUAUUGCCAUUGUAAAUGGGAUCUUUCUUCCAUUUUCUAGUUAGUUAUUGGUGGUACAUCUGAAAAGCAUUUGAGGUUUGUGUGCUGCUCUCUUGAUUUUGUUUCUAGCCACCGUACUGAAUUCUCAUAUUACUUCCAGUAAAAUCUUAGUUGAUUCUCUUAGGCUUCUUUGGCUAACAUUUAUUAUUUUAUAUGCAAAUAAUUAUAGUUUUGUCUCUUCCUUUUCAAUACUUACACUCUUUCCUUCCUUUCCUUUCUUUUUUUUUUCUUUCUCAGGGCCUUGUUGUCACCCAGACUGGAGAGCAAUGGUGUGAUCUAGCUCACUGUAACCUCAAACUCCUGGGCUUAAGGGAUCCUCCUGCCUCAGCUUCCUGAGUGGCUGGGACUACAGGCAGGCAGUGAAUUUUAAAACUUUUGGUGUAGAGACAAGAUCUUGCUAUGUUGCCCAGGCUGGUUUUCCUGCCACUUUAGAGCAGGUUUCCUUUUUUUCAUACUUUUAAGAGGUUUUUAUUAGGAAUUGUCCAUUGAAUGUUAGCUAAAACAGUCAAUAAAAUGCGUUAAGUACCAGCUACAUGCAAGACCCUAAGUUAGAUACAGUCAGCCCUCUUCAUCAGCAGGUCCACAUCUUCAGAUUCAACUAGAUAAGGCUGAAUAUUUGAAGAAAAAAACAAUAAAAAUACAAUUAGAAAGUACAGUAUAACAACUGUUGCCAUGAUACAAUAUCUAUACAUUUUAUUAGUGAUGACCUAAAGUUCAUGGGACCAGGCACGGUGACUCACACUUGUAAUCCCAACACUUUGGGAGGCCAACCUGGGCAGCAUAGUGAGACCUUGUCUUUAAUAAAAAUAAAAAUAAAAAAAUUAGCUAGUGUGGUGGUAUGCACCUGUAGUCCCAGCUACUCAAGAGGCUGAGGUGGGCAGAUCACUGGAGCCCAGGAGGUUGCGGCUGCUGUGAGCUGUGAUUGUGACACUGCUCUCCAGCCUGAGUGACAGAGGGUGAUCCUGUCUCUAAGUAAGUAAAUAAAUAAAGUAUAUGGGGGGGAUGUGUGUUGGUUAUAUGCAAACACUGCACCAUUAUACGUAAGGGAUUGAGCAUCCACAGAUUCUGGUAUGGUGUGGAGGCGAUAUCCUAGAACCAGUCGUCUGCAAGGUAGCAAGGAUGACUGAACUGUGGAAGAAUCAAAGCACUGUUAAACAGCAUACAAUUCCUGUCUUCAAAAAAGUUAUCUCAUCGGGUAGAUGAGACUUAAAAUGAAUAAAAGGAAUGAAUACACAUUGGAGAUAGUGGUUGUUGUGAUAGAUAACCUUAAUUGUGUUUUCUUCCAAAACGGGUGAAUUCACAUAAAAGGGCAUCAGAAAAAUACAAAGACAACCCAUCAAUAUCAGGAGCCUGAGCAUGAGUUAAAGCAUGUGGAUGGCCUAGAGCCAUGUUUUUAAAAUUGUUAUUAAAUAUUGGUUUUUUACUUAAAUCAAUGAAAACUUUCUUUACUUUGUGGUUGUGUUCCUCAAAAUGAGAAUUUUUAACAAUAAUAAAAAUAAAGCUUAUUAGAUCAUU